This 484-nucleotide ribosomal RNA is filed under the name uncultured bacterium. RNAcentral describes it as "partial 16S ribosomal RNA". It matches the Rfam family "Bacterial small subunit ribosomal RNA", at positions 29 to 523 of the family's 1533-position model. The record is from RNAcentral.
AGUGAACGCUGGCGGCGUGCUUAACACAUGCAAGUCGAACGAGAACGGAUUAUAGCUUGCUAUAAUUGUCAGCUAAGUGGCGCACGGGUGAGUAAUGUAUAGGUAAUAUGCCUCUUACUAAGGGACAACAAAUGGAAACGUUUGCUAAUACCUUAUACUCCUUAUUAACAGAAGUUAAUAAGGGAAAGAUUUAUUGGUAAGAGAUUAGCCUGUAUUGUAUCAGUUAGUUGGUGGGGUAAUGGCUUACCAAGACUAUGACACAUAACUGGUUUGAGGGGAUGAUCAGUCACACUGGAACUGAGACACGGUCCAGACUCCUACGGGAGGCAGCAGUGGGGAAUAUUGCACAAUGGACGAAGGUCUGAUGCAGCAACGCCGCGUGUAUGAUGACACAUUUCGGUGCGUAAACUCCUUUUAUAUGAGAAGAUAAUGACGGUAUUAUAUGAAUAAGCACCGGCUAACUCCGUGCCAGCCGCCGCAGUAA